This 433-nucleotide ribosomal RNA is filed under the name uncultured bacterium. Its description in RNAcentral is "partial 16S ribosomal RNA". It matches the Rfam family "Bacterial small subunit ribosomal RNA", at positions 29 to 507 of the family's 1533-position model. The record is from RNAcentral.
AACGAACGCUGGCGGCAUGCCUAACACAUGCAAGUCGAACGAGACCUUCGGGUCUAGUGGCGCACGGGUGCGUAACGCGUCGGAACCUGCCCUUAGGUUCGGAAUAACUCCCCGAAAGGGGUGCUAAUACCGGAUAAUGUCUUCGGACCAAAGAUUUAUCGUCUUUGGAUGGGCCCGCGUUGUAUUAGCUAGUUGGUAGGGUAAAAGCCUACCACAGCGACGAUCCAUAGCUGGUCUGAGAGGAUGGUCAGCCACACUGGGACUGAGACACGGCCCAGACUCCUGCGGGAGGCAGCAGUGGGGAAUAUUGGACAAUGGGCGAAAGCAUGAAGCAGCAAUGCCUCGUGAGUGAUGAAGGCCUUAGGGUAGUAAAGCACUUUUACCCGGGAUGAUAAUGACAGUACCGGGAGAAUAAGCGCCGGCUAACUCCGUG